GAUGAACGCUGGCGGCGUGCCUAAUACAUGCAAGUCGAGCGAACAGACGAGGAGCUUGCUCCUCUGACGUUAUCAGCCGACGGGUCAUUAACACGUGGAUAACCUACCUAUAAGACUGGGAUAAUUUCGGGAAACCGGAGCUACUACCGGAUAAUAUAUUGAACCGCAUGGUUCAAUAGUUGAAGACGCUAUUUCUUUCGCUUAUAGCUGACUACGCCGCGCAUUAGUUAGUUGGUAAAGUAGCGGCUUAUCAAGGCUACGAUGGUUAGCCGACCUGAAGGGGAGAUUGGAUACACGGGAAGGGAGAAAGGUCCGCGACUCCGAGGGGAGGCCACAGUAGAGAAUCCUACGCGAUGGGCGAAUGCCUGACGUAGCAAAGCCGCGUGAGUGAUGAAGGAGUUCGGCUGGUAAAGCUCUGUUGGUAGGAGAGAAGAAAAGCGUAAGUACCCAGGAACGUAUUGACGGUACCGAAUGAAUAAGCUCCGGCUAACUCCGUG
RNAcentral lists this ribosomal RNA (497 nucleotides) under uncultured bacterium. RNAcentral's name for it is "partial 16S ribosomal RNA". It matches the Rfam family "Bacterial small subunit ribosomal RNA", at positions 28 to 507 of the family's 1533-position model. The record is from RNAcentral.